GCGGCCGUGGCGGAAUUGGUAGACGCACUAGCUUGAGGUGCUAGCGGGUAACACCGUGGAGGUUCGAGUCCUCUCGGCCGCACCA
Molecule: transfer RNA, 85 nt
Filed under: Alphaproteobacteria bacterium
Lineage: Bacteria; Pseudomonadati; Pseudomonadota; Alphaproteobacteria
Also listed under: 5 other names
Description: tRNA-Leu
Rfam family: tRNA
About the family: Transfer RNA (tRNA) molecules are approximately 80 nucleotides in length. Their secondary structure includes four short double-helical elements and three loops (D, anti-codon, and T loops).
Source: RNAcentral